AAGUGCAUGUGCUUUAAUAAUAAUAAAAAAAAGGAAAAAGUACAUCAGUGAAGUGGUUGGUGUAGUAAGAUGCUUAAAACGUACUUUGCACCUUGCCGUCCACUUGUAGCUGUUUGUCCACUAGAGGAAUUUGCCAACUGGCGUAAAUAAACCAAGUGCCGUUUUCCAGAAUAGGAUUCGGCACCCAGUAUUAAUUUAUAUAACUCCGUCAUAAAUUAUAAUAUAAUUGAUAUAAAACCCAGUUAUAAUUUAUAUUAAACCCGGUAUUAAGCUGAAUAAAAUGACCCAGCCAUAAUGUAUAAUAACCCAGUGGUAGAAUUUUAAAUUAAUUUAAAAUUAAACUUCAACACACACAACUGCUUGAUUAACGGCCAACCCCCAAAAGCUCCAAGUCGCAGCUGUGCUGGACACAUCAGCUGUCUGGGCAACGCAAACAUAUGAGCUGUUGCUAGCUGCAGCCGCUCAUUGAGCACAGGAGAAUUGCUUCCCAGCAGGUGGUGUUUCUACUGCAAAACACCUGCGUCCGGCAGCCUUGCGAUCUCCGUUGGCUAUUUGCUCCGCACUUGUGGUGGCAUCGAUGCCGAGUAUCUGCGUCACCCAGGAGGAAGGCGAACGGCAGCUUAU
This is a long non-coding RNA of Drosophila sulfurigaster albostrigata, 624 nucleotides long. RefSeq lists it as uncharacterized. The record is from RefSeq and is a predicted model, not a curated record. The transcript has 3 exons. NCBI's taxonomy places the organism in Eukaryota, Metazoa, Arthropoda, Insecta, Diptera, Drosophilidae.